This 56-nucleotide transfer RNA is filed under the name Dipodomys ordii (Ord's kangaroo rat). It matches the Rfam family "tRNA", at positions 1 to 55 of the family's 71-position model. From Rfam's summary of the family: Transfer RNA (tRNA) molecules are approximately 80 nucleotides in length. Their secondary structure includes four short double-helical elements and three loops (D, anti-codon, and T loops). Further hydrogen bonds mediate the characteristic L-shaped molecular structure. tRNAs have two regions of fundamental functional importance: the anti-codon, which is responsible for specific mRNA codon recognition, and the 3' end, to which the tRNAs corresponding amino acid is attached (by aminoacyl-tRNA synthetases). tRNAs cope with the degeneracy of the genetic code in two manners: having more than one tRNA (with a specific anti-codon) for a particular amino acid; and 'wobble' base-pairing, i.e. permitting non-standard base-pairing at the 3rd anti-codon position. The record is from Rfam by way of RNAcentral. Lineage: Eukaryota; Metazoa; Chordata; Mammalia; Rodentia; Heteromyidae.
GAACAUAUGGCUCAGUGGUAGAGUGCUUGCCUUGCCUGCAGGAGGCUGUGUGUUCG